GCAGGUUUGGUGUAGUGGCUAUCACGUAUCGUUCACACCGAUAAGGUCGCGAGUUCGAUCCUCGCAAUCUGUA
Molecule: non-coding RNA, 73 nt
Organism: Clonostachys solani
Lineage: Eukaryota; Fungi; Ascomycota; Sordariomycetes; Hypocreales; Bionectriaceae
Source: the annotation of a GenBank genome assembly